AAUGAUGAGCCUGAUUAAAGGACUAUCGUGAUAGGAUAAAAUAUGUAGUACAAGCUUAAGCUACCUUCAUUA
RNAcentral lists this transfer RNA (72 nucleotides) under Hospitalitermes sp. PHI3. RNAcentral describes it as "tRNA-Ile". The record is from RNAcentral. Lineage: Eukaryota; Metazoa; Arthropoda; Insecta; Blattodea; Termitidae.